Molecule: long non-coding RNA, 145 nt
Organism: Neltuma alba
Lineage: Eukaryota; Viridiplantae; Streptophyta; Magnoliopsida; Fabales; Fabaceae
Exons: 2
Source: RefSeq, a predicted model, not a curated record
AUAUCUAUACCUGAUACUGAUAAAUCUUAUUAUUACCAAACAUGGCUUCCUCUCUUUUCAAGUUCACUGUCUUCCUCUGCAUUGCCCUCGUCCUUUUCUCUCCCAACGAGAAUGUUGCAGAAGCGAAAGUUUGUCCGAAACUAAG